RNAcentral lists this ribosomal RNA (444 nucleotides) under uncultured bacterium. RNAcentral's name for it is "bacterial SSU rRNA". It matches the Rfam family "Bacterial small subunit ribosomal RNA", at positions 355 to 822 of the family's 1533-position model. The record is from RNAcentral.
UCGGGAAUUUUGGGCAAUGGGCGAAAGCCUGACCCAGCAAAGCCGCGUGAAGGAUGAAGUAUUUCGGUAUGUAAACUUCGAAAGAAUAGGAAGAAUAAAUGACGGUACUAUUUAUAAGGUCCGGCUAACUACGUGCCAGCAGCCGCGGUAAUACGUAGGGACCAAGCGUUGUUCGGAUUUACUGGGCGUAAAGGGCGCGUAGGCGGCAAUUCAAGUCAUCUGUGAAAUCUCCGGGCUUAACUCGGAACGGUCAGAUGAUACUGCUUUGCUAGAGUGCAGAAGGGGCAAUCGGAAUUCUUGGUGUAGCGGUGAAAUGCGUAGAUAUCAAGAGGAACACCUGAGGUGAAGACGGGUUGCUGGGCUGACACUGACGCUGAGGCGCGAAAGCCAGGGGAGCAAACGGGAUUAGAUACCCUAGUAGUCCCUGAGCGGGCUGGCAAGGCG